AUUGAACGCUGGCGGCAGGCCUAACACAUGCAAGUCGAGCGGAUGAAGGGAGCUUGCUCCUGGAUUCAGCGGCGGACGGGUGAGUAAUGCCUAGGAAUCUGCCUGGUAGUGGGGGAUAACGUCCGGAAACGGGCGCUAAUACCGCAUACGUCCUGAGGGAGAAAGUGGGGGACCUUCGGACCUCACGCUAUCAGAUGAGCCUAAGUCGGAUUAGCUAGUUGGUGGGGUAAAGGCCUACCAAGGCGACGAUCCGUAACUGGUCUGAGAGGAUGAUCAGUCACACUGGAACUGAGACACGGUCCAGACUCCUACGGGAGGCAGCAGUGGGGAAUAUUGGACAAUGGGCGAAAGCCUGAUCCAGCCAUGCCGCGUGUGUGAAGAAGGUCUUCGGAUUGUAAAGCACUUUAAGUUGGGAGGAAGGGCAGUAAGUUAAUACCUUGCUGUUUUGACGUUACCAACAGAAUAAGCACCGGCUAACUUCGUG
This 484-nucleotide ribosomal RNA is filed under the name uncultured bacterium. RNAcentral's name for it is "partial 16S ribosomal RNA". It matches the Rfam family "Bacterial small subunit ribosomal RNA", at positions 30 to 507 of the family's 1533-position model. The record is from RNAcentral.